This is a non-coding RNA of Schizosaccharomyces pombe (fission yeast), 1415 nucleotides long. Lineage: Eukaryota; Fungi; Ascomycota; Schizosaccharomycetes; Schizosaccharomycetales; Schizosaccharomycetaceae. The record is from the annotation of a GenBank genome assembly.
CCAUUUGCUCGCGCUGAGAAAUUAUUUAUGAGCUUUUUAUAAAAUCAACUGUUUUGGAAGAUACAAAUUUAUGCGAUGCCUUUUAACCCGGUUUUCAAAGCCGAAUUGAAGCGACCACAAAGGCCAUAAGAAUGUUGCGAAUUGAAAGUAUUUAGGAAUUGGUAGACAUACAUUGGAGAGUGUUCUAGUUUAUCAAUCGCAUUUCUUUUUUGUAAAGCAUUUAUUAUUGGAGUCCAACUAAACCGUUUGCUUAAAAUAGCUUGGCUUGGUAUGGCAUAGCAAGGCAAAUUAAUGACAAUCGCAAUUCAGUUCGAUACAGGGCAUUGAAGAUAGAAGCAAAAAAAACACAAUUCUUGAAAGUUUUGGAUGAGUAUCCGUUCAUCCAAAUGAUAGACUUUCUCGGGUUGUUGGAUGAGGAUCUCCUUUAGCCGUGGAUUGUUCUGUAUCUUUUCCGUAUAAGAAAACCACAAGUGACACAUUUAAAGGGUAAACUUAGAGUCUUCGAUAUAUUUUUCUGACUGAAGAAAUGCUAGAAUUCAUCUAUAAGAAUUCGACUUUUUUCUGUCAGACACCAACGUUGCAAUGAUCAUAUCAAAUGCAGACCACCCGUUAGAUAUUAUAGGAAUAAACCUGCCCGUGUAUUAUUAGCCGAACAGUUAAACUGCUUGAUUGCUUACUUAUCGAAUUUUUCAUCUAACUUAUAUUCUGAUUCAUUUAUAUUAAAUUUUAUUAACGCUGAUUUAUUUAUUUCUUUCAGCACACUCCUUUGAGCAAAAUAAUGAACUUCAAAAAAAAUCAGACUUAGGCAAUAUGUUUUCCCGAAUUGCCGCUGUCAAAUAUUAUAGAAGUCCUCGCUCUUACACUACUUACAUUGUCAUGAUUUUAAAAUUGUAUUCUAAUUUUUCCUCUUCUUCCUGUGAUACUUACCCUAUUAUGUUGCGCUUGUCUAAAUAUAUGUAAGCGAAAACCCCAUCUUAUCUUCUCAAUUAAACAAAUUUCGUGUUAAAGGUUGUGCUUUUACGGACACGAUUAAUUAUUUUCAUUACAAACAGUUUUCAAAUUCUGCAUUGACUGGGAAACUGGUUUUUAUUGUUUUUUCUAUGUUUACCGAGCAGCACAUUCCGACACCCUCGUUCGAAAUCUCCUAAAAGCAAUGGGGAACUCGUUCAACGAUCCAAUUACUUGUCUGACUACUAUAUAUGAACAACUUUCCUUUCUCUUUCAAGUACUAGUUUUUAGAUUGUGCUUCUUUUUGUUUUGCUUUCUACAAUCAUCAAAUACAGACUUCUAACGAGUUUCCUUAUAUUGUUUAUUGUACUACUGUCGAGCGUGCAAAAUUACACUUUCUCCCGAAGGGGGCGGGGUUUUCACCUUACUUAUCUAUUUAUCAGUCGCGCGUGUUCAAGCCAUAACAU